GCGGAGCGGGUAAAUUGGCAGACGCUACGGUCUUAAAAUCCGUUGACCGUAAGGUCGUGUGGGUUCGACUCCCACCCUCGGCACCA
RNAcentral lists this transfer RNA (86 nucleotides) under Acidobacteriota bacterium. RNAcentral's name for it is "Acidobacteria bacterium tRNA-Leu". It matches the Rfam family "tRNA", at positions 10 to 71 of the family's 71-position model. From Rfam's summary of the family: Transfer RNA (tRNA) molecules are approximately 80 nucleotides in length. Their secondary structure includes four short double-helical elements and three loops (D, anti-codon, and T loops). The record is from RNAcentral. Lineage: Bacteria; Pseudomonadati; Acidobacteriota.